ACGAACGCUGGCGGCGUGCUUAACACAUGCAAGUCGAACGGAAAGGCCCUGCUUGCAGGGUACUCGAGUGGCGAACGGGUGAGUAACACGUGGGUGAUCUGCCCUGCACUUCGGGAUAAGCCUGGGAAACUGGGUCUAAUACCGGAUAGGAGCCAUUUUUAGUGUGAUGGUUGGAAAGUUUUUUCGGUGUAGGAUGAGCUCGCGGCCUAUCAGCUUGUUGGUGGGGUAAUGGCCUACCAAGGCGGCGACGGGUAGCCGGCCUGAGAGGGUGGACGGCCACAUUGGGACUGAGAUACGGCCCAGACUCCUACGGGAGGCAGCAGUGGGGAAUAUUGCACAAUGGGCGCAAGCCUGAUGCAGCGACGCCGCGGGGGGGAUGACGGCCUUCGGGUUGUAAACUCCUUUCGCUAGGGACGAAGCUUUUUGUGACGGUACCUAGAGAAGGAGCACCGGCUAACUACGUG
Molecule: ribosomal RNA, 464 nt
Filed under: uncultured bacterium
Lineage: Bacteria
Description: partial 16S ribosomal RNA
Rfam family: Bacterial small subunit ribosomal RNA
Source: RNAcentral